RNAcentral lists this ribosomal RNA (253 nucleotides) under uncultured bacterium. Its description in RNAcentral is "partial 16S ribosomal RNA". It matches the Rfam family "Bacterial small subunit ribosomal RNA", at positions 524 to 776 of the family's 1533-position model. The record is from RNAcentral.
UACAGAGGUCUCAAGCGUUGUUCGGAUUCAUUGGGCGUAAAGGGUGCGUAGGCGGUGGGGCAAGUCAGGUGUGAAAUCCCGGAGCUCAACUCCGGAACUGCACUUGAUACUGCUUUACUAGAGUACUGGAGAGGAGACUGGAGUUUACGGUGUAGCAGUGAAAUGCGUAGAUAUCGUAAGGAAGACCAGUGGCGAAGGCGAGUCUCUGGACAGUUACUGACGCUGAGGCACGAAGGCCAGGGGAGCAAACGGG